RNAcentral lists this ribosomal RNA (303 nucleotides) under Triticum aestivum (bread wheat). Its description in RNAcentral is "partial small subunit ribosomal RNA". Lineage: Eukaryota; Viridiplantae; Streptophyta; Magnoliopsida; Poales; Poaceae. The record is from RNAcentral.
AUGUCCUCGGCUUCAGCUCCGCUGCUCGGUGCCUGCGAGCCCGCCGACGGCGAGGCGAAGCCCUGCUCGCCGGCGUGGCUACGCCGCUUGAUCGACACGGAGGAGGCAUGGGCGCAGCUGCGGUUCGCGGUGCCGAUGGUCCUGACCAACAUGUCCUACUACGGCAUCCCGCUGGUGUCCGUGAUGUUCUCCGGCCACCUCGGCGACGUCCACCUCGCCGGCGCCGCGCUCGGCAACUCCUGGGCCACCGUCACCGGUUACGCCUUCGUCGUACGUACUCUGCCUGCUACCACACUCUCAUGA